AGUUUCAAAAGUGACGUGGCAUUCUUGGUUUGUUCUCUUCUUAUUUUACUAAAAAGACAAUGAGGAUAUCAAAGAAAGACUUGAGGAGCCACUCAUCGUCUGAGUCCACCUAAAGGCCUCUCCAUACUCGAGAAUGAUUUCAUGCGAUGUGGACCAGGAUCAGUCAUGACGGAUACUUUGCACAUGACCUGACCUGUAUACUGCUGCCUUAAAUGCACUUGAAACCUCAUCACCUGGACUGGAUCCAGCUGCGAACUCAGAUUAAAUUAAAUGAUCUACUAUCGAUGGGUUAAAUCCUGUUGAAAGAAAGAAAGCAAAACAAGAGGUGGAAUUCUGUGUGUUUGUUAUGGAUCUGUUGUUUUCAGGUUUUGAGUUGGUCUUCAUCAUCAUUGCUUUCACUAUUAUGUGCUUAUUUGGCCUGGCUGCUGUCUACACAUACAAUACAAAUCAUCAAGAUGACUACAUUCAAACAGAACAGAAGAUAAUACAACAAAAGAGUAACUCAAUGAAGAAACAGCGAGGCAUUACCAAAACCAAUCAGGAGCUACCAUGAACACACAAACAAACCUGGUGCACCAAAUGCAGCUAACCACUUUAUGAAGAUCUCUGACACUGAAAAUGGACUUGCUGUCGAGCCCAUCUUUAGGUUGAGCCUCAAGACCAGCUGCCUCCGAUUGGCUUGAAUGCAUGACCCUAUUUAUUAACCAGUGAAGAAAGGCAAAGAGGAUUUAUUGAAAUCGAAACCCCUCCCCUUUCCCCGCCUAAAUCUACUUAUCAUUUGUAAUAUAAUGAUUUAAAUCCUGUCUGGAGCAGCUUUUAUUUUUUCACACAGCUUAUGCUUUGGUGGAUAAACUGCUUCUAAAGUUUCUGGCUGGUGGUGGCCAUUGGCAAUAAAAAUAGGAAAAUAUAUUGUUGAAUGUAUAUUGUGCAAAUAUUUUAUACAUAUAGUAUAUUUAUAGUGAUGUUGUACUAUUUAUAUAAUGCAUUUCCUUUGUAUUUUAUUUAUUUUUCCACAAGUAUUUUUUGGCUUUUUUUAUAUAUUACAAAAUAUGAACAUUGUCCAGAAUAUAUAUAAAUAUAUAUGAAUAAAUUUUCUGUUAUAAUCUGUCCCUUUUGCUGUGCCCUAACACAAGGCAGUUAACACCACUGUGCUGCAGGACAACUACCAUAUAGUCUUCUGUAAUUUACAUUGCACAAAAAGAUCUGCUAACUAAUUGCUGACUUUGGAUUAUGGCAUUAAGAUACACUCAUCUGGAUCUGGAGAAGAUUUUACACUGUUUCUAAUUAUGUAUGGAAAGUGAGGUUACAUAGUGUCCUGUUUCAAGACCAUGUGCCCUGAUUGUUAAACAGCUACUUAAUUUCAAGUUUAACAGUUU
Long non-coding RNA from Carassius carassius (crucian carp), 1376 nucleotides. RefSeq lists it as uncharacterized. The transcript is spliced from 4 exons. Lineage: Eukaryota; Metazoa; Chordata; Actinopteri; Cypriniformes; Cyprinidae. The record is from RefSeq and is a predicted model, not a curated record.